This 392-nucleotide ribosomal RNA is filed under the name uncultured bacterium. RNAcentral's name for it is "partial 16S ribosomal RNA". It matches the Rfam family "Bacterial small subunit ribosomal RNA", at positions 523 to 918 of the family's 1533-position model. The record is from RNAcentral.
AUACGGAGGAUCCGAGCGUUAUCCGGAUUUAUUGGGUUUAAAGGGUGUGCAGGCGGCCAUUUAAGUCAGCGGUUAAAUCGUGGGGCUCAACCCCAUUCUGCCGUUGAUACUGGGUGGCUUGAUUGCGGUCGAGGUUGGCGGAAUUCGUUGUGUAGCGGUGAAAUGCAUAGAUAUGACGAAGAACACCGAUUGCGUAGGCAGCUGACCAGACCGCAAAUGACGCUCAUGCACGAAAGUGCGGGGAUCGAACAGGAUUAGAUACCCUGGUAGUCCGCACAGUAAACGAUGAAUACUUGUUUUCGGCGAUAUAAUGUCGGAGGCAAAGCGAAAGCGAUAAGUAUUCCACCUGGGGAGUACGCCGGCAACGGUGAAACUCAAAGGAAUUGGCGGGG